This 700-nucleotide ribosomal RNA is filed under the name uncultured bacterium TIHP302-29. RNAcentral's name for it is "bacterial SSU rRNA". It matches the Rfam family "Bacterial small subunit ribosomal RNA", at positions 50 to 758 of the family's 1533-position model. The record is from RNAcentral.
AAUGCAUGCAAGUCGAGCGAGAAGCAGUUGUUCCGUAAGGUUCAGCUGUGGACAGCGGCGAACGGGUGCGUAACACGUGAGAAACCUGCCCCCCAGACCGGGAUAGCCCAGGGAAACUUGGAUUAAUACCGGAUACUCUCUUUGGACCGCAUGGUCCGUUGAGGAAAGGUCCGCUGCUGGGGGAUGGUCUCGCGGCCUAUCAGGUAGUUGGUGAGGUAACGGCUCACCAAGCCGAAGACGGGUAGCUGGUCUGAGAGGACGAUCAGCCACACUGGAACUGAGACACGGUCCAGACUUCUACGGGAGGCAGCAGCAGGGAAUAUUGCACAAUGGGCGAAAGCCUGAUGCAGCGACACCGCGUGCGGGAUGAAGGCCUUCGGGUUGUAAACCGCUUUCAGGAGGGGAAGAAAAUUGCGGGACCUCCAGAAGAAGCCCCGGCUAACUUCGGUCCAACAGCCGGGGUAAUACGAAGGGGGCAAUCGUUCUCCGGGAUCACUGGGGGUAAAGGGUGCGUAGGCGGCUUUUUAAGUCGGGGGGGAAACCUGUUGGCUCAACCACAGGAUGGGCCUUCGAUACUGGGGGCCUUUAGUUUGGNAAGGUGNGUGGAAUUCGAGGUGUAGCGGUGAAAUUCGCAGUGAUNNNGAGGAACACCGGGGGCGAAGGGGCAUCUCUGGGCCUGNAGUGCGGCUGAGGCGCGAAA